GACGAACCGUGCGAACGUUGUUCGGAUUCACUGGGCUUAAAGGGCGCGUAGGCGGGCGGCCAAGUCAGGGGUGAAAUCUUUCGGCCCAACCGGAAAAGUGCCCCUGAUACUGGCGGCCUCGAGGGGGGUAGGGGCAUGCGGAACUUCCGGUGGAGCGGUGAAAUGCGUAGAUAUCGGAAGGAACGCCGGUGGCGAAAGCGGCGUGCUGGACCCCUUCUGACGCUGAGGCGCGAAAGCCAGGGGAGCAAACGGG
Molecule: ribosomal RNA, 253 nt
Filed under: uncultured bacterium
Lineage: Bacteria
Description: partial 16S ribosomal RNA
Rfam family: Bacterial small subunit ribosomal RNA
Source: RNAcentral